AUAUUUAUUUAUUUUUAAAACUUCUCUUUCUCUCUCUAAAACGCUCCCUCUCGUUCUCUCUCUAACGUUUCACUCUCUCUCAUUUAUCCAUUCUCUGGUUCGCCGACAACCGCCAAAUCUCUGCAAUUUCAACUAUCUCCUCUCUCCUACCAUCCAUUUCUCCCUCAGGUACUUUUGUACGCGGGCAGCAACCCCUUCAGUGCUCUGUACAUGUGAUUCAUCAUUUUCCUGUUAAAGAAAUGCAUUAAAAAUUUGGCUUUAUUUGCAGACCUUAUAAGGAUUGAGGACAUUUGGCUUGUGCUUGACAUAUUGUUCUUCGUAAUUUCAUAUGUUCUAAGCUGGAAAUUAUCCCUGGGGAGUCCAAUGGUUGCUUAUGUUUGUUAAUUUUCCUGCUUUACCAGUUCAAUGAUGCACCUUCAGGAAAUUUCUUUGAAGUAUUGCUGAAUAUCCAUGUGCAUGGGCUUUGAAGCUCGACCGUUUAUGGUAACAUCAUGGAAAAUUAAUAAUAGGCUUGAGAAUCUCCACUCCUUAAGAAAAGUAAAGCUGUCAUUCUAUCUUCUGCAUUCGAGCUUUUGAGUAUUAGAGAAGACUAUAUUGCAAUUUUACUGCAAAGGAGCUUUGUAUAAAAUAACUUGGUGGUUCAACAUUAUUGUCAAAUGUCAGAAGUUGAUAUGACAGUGAUCAAACCAGAGAUGAUGAAGUCCUAUAUCUGGCUUCAGACUGCCGAUGGUUCAAUACAACAAGUAGAACAAGAGGUUGCAAUGUUUUGCCCUAUGAUAUGCCAUGAACUAAUACAAAAGGGAAUGGGAUCAUCCAAGAACUGUGCUAUAUCACUUCCACAGCGGGUCAAUCCUGCCAUGUUAAGUCUGAUUCUUGAUUAUUGCAGAUUUCACCAAGUACCAGGACGUUCUAACAAGGAAAGGAAGACUUUUGAUGAAAAAUUCAUUCGAAUGGACACAAAAAGGCUUUGUGAGUUGACUUCUGCUGCUGACAGCCUUCAGUUGAAACCUCUGGUUGAUCUUACAAGCCGUGCUCUUGCACGAAUUAUUGAAGGCAAAACCCCUGAGGAGAUACGUGAAAUUUUUCAUUUGCCUGAUGAUCUCACUGAGGAAGAGAAAUUGGAGCCUUUGAAAAACACAAUGGAUGAUCCAAGAAUUCGACUUUUAAAUAGGUUGUAUGCAAAGAAGAGGAAAGAAUUAAAGGAGCGAGAGAAAUUAAAGAAUGUUGAGGUUGAAGAAGAGCGAGUGGAUGAGCGUUCUGUGGAUGACCUCUUAUCAUUUAUUAAUGGGGAAGAUUCUAAGGGGAUUAAAACUUCAAAAAAUAAAAAGAAGAAUCGGAGAAGGAGAGAUCAACAGAAGAAUGGUUCUCCAAAUGAAGCAAAUGAAACACAUAAGAAGGAGGAAAACUGUAUCACUUCUUCAUGUCAUACUGCUGAGGAUGGUAAUAAAAUUCGGUCCAGUUUGGGUGAGGAGUCAAAUUUACCUGAUAUGGAAGAUGACAUUUUUGCACAUGGUGAUAUUGAUGAUGAGAUAGAUCCAGCUCUGAAAGAAGAGAUUGAUAGAGAGGUGGAAGAUUUUGCGCGGAGAUUGAAUUCCGACUGGAUCUCAUCUUUGGGUCAAGAAAGGAGGCCGGUACAUUUUUCAAUCAAUGGCAAUGGUACUGCUAGAAGACAUGCAAAUCCAGAGCACUGAUAAAUUAUACAAUGAGGAUGCUUCUUUUCUUGGCCAGUGGCUGCAACAAUUUUGAUCAGACCUUGCUCAAAAUGCAAGAGUGUUGGAUGUCUAGAAGAUCUGGGAUUCUCACUUAUGUGUAUCCUAAUCAUUUCAGGUGGUGGAACAUCUACUCUUACCAAAAGCUGCUUUUUUGGAGGAACUAGGCUAGAAUACUGUAUAAACUAAAGAUGCCGUUCUUUUUUAUGUUGUAUUAUUAAACGUCCUUUUUGUUCGUGUAUUUUUUUAUUCACAAAGUGGUGGCAAAUAUACAUACGACAUUGUGUUUGCAUCCAUGCAGUGUGCUCUGAAUUGGUAUUCCCAAUAAAUGCAGCACAUAUUACGCGUCAGUAUGUGGUCCUACAUACCAAGUCCAGUGCUCUUUGCCCCAACCACUUUAGCUCUGGAAAUGUUGGUUUUCCCUUGCACAAUUUAUGAUGGUUGUUUUGUAAUAAAUGCUAAUUUUAGCAUAUGAAGGUCCUGUUCGGUUUGCUACUUUGUGGCCUGGAAGGUGCAGAGGGUACCAACUCACAUUUGAUGUUAUACAAGCAUAUGUUUAGUUGUUUGUGGUUAAAGGCUUCUAAA
This is an RNA transcript of Carica papaya (papaya), 2294 nucleotides long. It is a transcript of the gene named SKP1-like 20, with no coding region annotated. The record is from RefSeq and is a predicted model, not a curated record. Lineage: Eukaryota; Viridiplantae; Streptophyta; Magnoliopsida; Brassicales; Caricaceae.